Long non-coding RNA from Leopardus geoffroyi (Geoffroy's cat), 3487 nucleotides. RefSeq lists it as uncharacterized. The transcript has 9 exons. The record is from RefSeq and is a predicted model, not a curated record. Lineage: Eukaryota; Metazoa; Chordata; Mammalia; Carnivora; Felidae.
CUUAAAAAAAUAUGUUUAUUUGUUUUCUACUUCUAGCUUGUUGGUGAAGUAAAUCAAAUAUGGAUUUGUGCUUCAGAAUUAUUUAGUUUAAAAUCCAAACUUCACUUCUUAUUAACAAUAUGCCAUUGGUGGAGUUAUUUUUUCCCUUUGAGGUUCAUGUUUUUAUCCACUAAAAAAGAUGACCAUAAGGCUUUCCUCAGUGACAUUUAAUCUAGAUUGUGUGAGAUAGUUUGUGUAAAACACCUGACCUAAAGUAGACAAUGUGUAAAUGCUGCUGUCUCCUCCCUGUACAGCAAGGCACACAGCUGCAAGGACAUGUCCAGUGUUUCUAAAAGUCUACAGCUUUCCACAGAGAAUGAUUCUUGCUGCUCAUUCACUGUGGACCCAGUCUCCUGAUGACAAUGAUGGCCCAUGGAUGUAAAUUCACCUGUCAGCAGUAUUUUCAUGACCAUUUUGUAAAAUUAGAGCACUGUCCAGAAUAAUAAAUGAAAUUCAGGGAAAUGGGAAAACCAAAACUUGACAUGAUCCAUCCAGAAUGUAUUUCCUGCCUUUUGAACACCAAGUAAAUUUUCUUUGGAGACUCUUCUUAAGUGUCCAUCUCAAUUAAACCUUCAUGGCCCUCCUUCAAGACAGAGUUAGAGAUGCGUCCCUCUGUACUCUCAGUUGAGCACUGAGCCAAUUACAAAGCAGGAGCUGUUAUCUCCAUCCACUACUCAUGUACUAUGAAGAGUUCUCAUUGGCCUUUGCUUGUUAAGAACCAACUCAUUCUGAUAGGUGCCUAUGGAAACAGGGAGCUGUUGUUGCCUGUUGGGACCUCGUUUGAUAAUGUUCAGCUGUGAACGCUCAACAUUUAACCUGCUGGAUGUCUCAAUAAAUGUAUAUUAACUGUUGACUCACUAUACUAAAUGAAUAAAUGAAGUUUGUUCGUGUAUCAACAGUGCUGUGUUUUCUUCCGUGUCACAGCCACCAGCAGUUUGGAGAACGGGGAAGGCUGAACUGUAUUAAUAUCAACAAACGUGGUUUGCCCCUGAUUAUACUUGUGACCUUGUGCAGGGGACUUCCCUCUCUAGACCCUGCUUUUCUCCUCUGUAGAGUGAGGGAAUUAAACCAGGUAAUCUCCAGAGUCCCUUCCUACUAUUCCAUCCAGUGAUUAGUGUGUGAUGUAGCACGUGUUCUGAUAUUCCUUACAAUAUUCGGGGCCAGCCGACUAACCACUCACUCCUCAAAGAUUACACGAGCUGAGAGUUUAAUAGGUAAGUAGAAAAGAAUGCAAAAGUAAGGGUUUUCUCCUAUUCGCAGCCUGAGCGGCUUUUUAGUUUAUAUUUCCCGGGGCUAAGAGAGUAAAGAGUGGAACUAAGAGCAUCAGAAAAUAUUUUUUGUGAGCACAGGACAAUAUUUUAUUUAGAUCAGUUAAUGGGAUAAUGGUUGGUUUUAUUCACAGGAAGGAAUAUGCUUUUUAUAUUCAUAAGGUAUUAGUGACUCCAGACCCAUUUAAUUUCUACACAUCUGUUAAGUACAGAAAAAGGAAACCUAAUGAUCUAACAGAAAAACAUACUUAAGGCUAACAUUUGGUUCCCAGACCUAUCAUUCUCUUUGCCAAAAUGAAGUUACUGAAGCUUUCGUAGUAAUUGUUGUGACUGAGCAGAGCAAAGGGACUCAUGUACAUUCAUGCUGGUAUGUAUACACAUGUAUUUGCACCUCACAAGCCCAUAUUAGAACUUGCUAUUUAUUUCCUGAAUGAAGCCUAAAUUAGAUAGUGAUACUCGGCAUUGUUGCUGAGAAAUGGAUUCACAAUGUGUUCUUGUUUAAAACAGAGACAAUGAGUAGACAGCGACACAAGCGCAUUAAAUUACUCUGCCCCAAUUUAUUUUUUAGAGCAGUUCUUGCUGAAAGGUCUUUCAGGAAAACAAGGACAUUCAGGAAGUAACCCUAGUCUCUGUGGACGAAUGUGUUUAUUGAGAGCAUGCUUGGUGAGAGGUAUACAGACUCUGGUCUUAAAGCCCCUGUUCCAGCUUUAUUUCCUUCUUGGUGAAGCUUCCUCAGUUUCCUCAUCUGGAACAUAGUAUGGCUGUGAGGAUCAGAUGGGAAAACAAUGUGACUGCAGAAAGAAACAGUGGAAAAGGGCACAGAGAGGUCACCGUUAAGUCGAAACCAAAAACAGUUACUCCGUUACUGUUUUUAUUUUUCACAAAUUGCAUAAUCGCCUUGGCUGUCAGUAGCAAAUGUGAAAAUUACCUUGUCAUAGAGGCUUACAGUGUUCCUUUCUCCACGCUAUAACAUAAUUGUCAUUAUAAUUUUACCACCACCAACAGCCAGGGUAGCUGUCCCUAUCCUCGCCUCCGUGACACCUCCGUGUGACAGCAUACACCUGUGUGGCUUAUGCAUGAAAUUAGCUACACAAAUUGUGGAAUACAUGUGCAGCUUAACUUGUUUUGCAAUAAUCUAAACAUUGCAAAUGUUAAGUGUAAAUCAAACCAAAGAUGAAAUAUGGGUGCCAUUUUUUGGUGACAUGUAUCACAUUUCUGAUUAGUCUUCCAAUUUUAACAUCUCUACUUCUGACUUAGUAAAAACUUGGUAACAUGUGCAUUGUAGGAGAAAGUGGUCAUUCACUCCCAUCCACCUUUGUACUACUGCUCCACGAUGAUGCUACCUAGCCAGUAUAAACCCACUGUGGGAUGACAAAAGCAAUAUGGACCAUCAAGAAAGGAAAUCACCAUAUUCCAGACUCUUUGCUGGUACCCUUUACCAGACAUACACCAUCAGCAGUCAGUUCUGUGAAUCUCGAAGUUGGUGAAUCCUGCUGGUGAGGUUCCCCGCCUCCUCUGCCUAUGCUUCCUUGGUAUCAAAAGUGCCUUCUGCUGCUUUACCUGUUGAACUUCUCUGAAGAAAAAAGUUCUUCUUCAUACCAUUAACACGUUUAUGGUUCCAGAGAAACGAAAUCUAAGCAUACAGCAAUGUAAGAAUCCAAAGUGGUAGAAGAUAAACACCAGAGACAAAAUGGAUCCCAGGACCUCCUAUCUGGACUGUAGCAUUAUUUUGUGUAUUCAUUUAUUUGAAGAAGGGAAAUCUGCCUUCAUGAAGAAAAUGUACUGGUCGCAAGGAGUUGGACUGUUUUGAUCUUGCACGGCAAGUUCUCACUACAAAUUCAUUAACUGAGUGGAUUCCUAAGUGGCUUGAGUACAGUGAAUUUUUCAUCCUAUGUAAAAAAAAAAAAAAAAAAAAUGCAACAGAAGGCAAUACAGCCAAGUAUUGAGGAAUGAGGGAAUUUGGUGAUUGGCCACUAGUGACUGGCAAACUGGGACAGCAGGAUCUUGAGUUUCCAACAGUGAGUCUCAUAGUUCAGACAUUCAGAGCCACACUAAACCUUCAGAUCUGUAUGCUGACUGAGAAAGUACAGAUGUGAUUGGAGCAUCAUUAACCUAACUGCCAGCAGAAUUCUGCUAGACCCAAAGUCCUCCACAGGCCUUCCCGACUAGGAAAAGAAAAA